GUCAUUCUUGAAUAAGGGAAAUUCUCUGGUUCAUUUCCAGCAAUGCGCGUUCGAAUCGCGCGAAUGACU
RNAcentral lists this transfer RNA (69 nucleotides) under Raphanus sativus (radish). Its description in RNAcentral is "tRNA-Met". Lineage: Eukaryota; Viridiplantae; Streptophyta; Magnoliopsida; Brassicales; Brassicaceae. The record is from RNAcentral.